AGUGAACGCUGGCGGUAGGCUUAACACAUGCAAGUCGAACGGCAGCACAGUAAGAUCUUGCUCUUACGGGGUGGCAGUGGCGGAAGGGAGAGGAAGACAUCGGAAUCUACUUUUUGGUGGGAGAUUGGGUAGGGAAGCUUACGACAGUACCGCACACGACCUACGGGUGAGAGCAGGAGAUUUUCGCACCUUGCGCGGUUGAAUGAGCCUAUGUGGGAGUAGCUAGUUGGCGGGGUUAAGGCGCACCAAGGCGACGACCCGUAGCAGGUCUGAGAGGAUGAGCAGCCACAAUGGAACUGAGACACAGUCCAGACUCCUACGGGAGGCAGCAGUGGGGAAUAUUGGACAAUGGGGGCAAGCCUGAUCCAGCCAGACCGCGUGGGUGAAGAAGGCCUUCGGGGUGUAAAGCCCUUUUGUUGGGAAAGAAAAGCAGCAGGUGAAUACCGCGCUGUUCUGACGGUACCCAAAGAAUAAGCACCGGCUAACUUCGUG
This 492-nucleotide ribosomal RNA is filed under the name uncultured bacterium. RNAcentral describes it as "partial 16S ribosomal RNA". It matches the Rfam family "Bacterial small subunit ribosomal RNA", at positions 29 to 507 of the family's 1533-position model. The record is from RNAcentral.